AAUACAUGACGUUGUUGACUUUUUCUCACAUGUUUGACCAUUCGUCUUAUUUAAAAAAUUUACGUAAUUAUAAUUUAUUUUUGUUAUGAGUUGUUUUAUCACUCAUAGUACUUUAAGUGUGAUUUAUAUCUUAUACAUUUGCAUAAAAUUUUUAAAUAAGACGAAUGGUCAAACAUGUGAGAAAAAAUCAACGGCGUCAUCUAUU
Molecule: microRNA precursor, 205 nt
Filed under: Oryza sativa Indica Group (long-grained rice)
Lineage: Eukaryota; Viridiplantae; Streptophyta; Magnoliopsida; Poales; Poaceae
Description: MIR812 microRNA precursor family
Rfam family: MIR812 microRNA precursor family
Source: Rfam by way of RNAcentral